Molecule: ribosomal RNA, 497 nt
Filed under: uncultured bacterium
Lineage: Bacteria
Description: partial 16S ribosomal RNA
Rfam family: Bacterial small subunit ribosomal RNA
Source: RNAcentral
GAUGAACGCUGGCGGCGUGCCUAAUACAUGCAAGUCGAGCGAACAGACGAGGAGCUUGCUCCUCUGACGUUAGCGGCGGACGGGUGAGUAACACGUGGAUAACCUACCUAUAAGACUGGGAUAACUUCGGGAAACCGGAGCUAAUACCGGAUAAUAUAUUGAACCGCAUGGUUCAAUAGUGAAAGACGGUUUUGCUGUCACUUAUAGAUGGAUCCGCGCCGCAUUAGCUAGUUGGUAAGGUAACGGCCUACCAAGGCGACGAUGCGUAGCCGACCUGAGAGGGUGAUCAGCCACACUGGAACUGAGACACGGUCCAGACUCCUACGGGAGGCAGCAGUAGGGAAUCUUCCGCAAUGGGCGAAAGCCUGACGGAGCAACGCCGCGUGAGUGAUGAAGGUCUUCGGAUCGUAAAACUCUGUUAUUAGGGAAGAACAAAUGUGUAAGUAACUAUGCACGUCUUGACGGUACCUAAUCAGAAAGCCACGGCUAACUACGUG